UACGUAGGGUGCGAACGUUGUUCGGAAUCACUGGGCAUAAAGGGCGCGUAGGCGGUCCAUUAAGUCCUUUGUGAAAGCCCCCGGCUCAACCGGGGAAUAGCAGGGGAUACUGUUGGGCUAGAGUGCAGGAGGGGAGAGCGGAAUUCCUGGUGGAGCGGUGAAAUGCGUAGAUAUCAGGAGGAACGCCGGUGGCGAAAGCGGCUCUCUGGUCUGUUACUGACGCUGGGGCGCGAAAGCUAGGGGAGCAAACGGG
Molecule: ribosomal RNA, 253 nt
Filed under: uncultured bacterium
Lineage: Bacteria
Description: partial 16S ribosomal RNA
Rfam family: Bacterial small subunit ribosomal RNA
Source: RNAcentral